CAUCAUUUGCGCGCGUGGGGUUCGGGGCACGGGCUGCUAUCCCACCAGGAAGGCUUCGGCGAAUCUGGUACCUCGGCGCGGGCCGCGUGGUGCAUAAGGCCCGCCUGAUCGCCACGCCGCCCCCCGUAUGUGCAGAUUUCUCAGCGUAGCCUGCAGGAGCAACUCCUGGCCCAACUCCAGACUAAACCGUUUGAAGUUCAUCCCAACCUGCGACGUAGUCUUGAGUGCAGCUCUUGCUGUCAUUCAUUCAGAAUAGAGUUGUAGAUUUCAGGACCAUUAAUUCGGAUAUUGUCUAAUAUUGUUUUCCUAGGCAGAGGAAGCUAGUUAAAGAAUAGGUCCCAGGCAGAGGAAGCUAGUUAAAGAAUAGGAGAAAUUUAGAUGAAAGAAUUAUUUUCCUCGUCCAAUAGAUGUGUGAUCACCUUCCCUGAAGGACUUUGAAAUCAGUAUUGCUUCGUUUGCCCUGACUGGUUACAAGGAAAAGGGAUAGACUGUAGUCUGCAAAAGUUGUGAAGAGAACUGAACUUGAGAGUCAGAAGAUCCUUUGAGUUAUUACCAAUGGUGAGAUCUGUUUUCCCAACAUAAGACAGUUUUCAGCAUCUGUGAGAGGAGGUUAGGCCGUGGCUCUGAAUGUGGCCAAACUGAAGACAUUGAGGGCCCUUCAUUUACCUCCAUUCACCCAUACCCACUCCUUAUGGGAAAGUAGCUUCUAAAAGCUUCCUCACUUAGCUCUAUCCACACAGAUCCCAUCUUUACAGGAUAAUGGCUUCUAAAAGCUUCCUUUGGGAUAUGGGGGAGAUCAUUGCACUUAUCCUGCCUAGUGUUAAGACAAUGAGUCGACCUUGAUUUAUUAUGUAUAUCUGCUGACAAGCCAAUAAAGUUUAUGAAGUGCUUUGGACUGAAUAUAAAAACUAUCAUGUUAGCAUUACU
Molecule: long non-coding RNA, 927 nt
Filed under: Marmota monax (woodchuck)
Lineage: Eukaryota; Metazoa; Chordata; Mammalia; Rodentia; Sciuridae
Source: RNAcentral